This 2905-nucleotide ribosomal RNA is filed under the name Escherichia albertii. Its description in RNAcentral is "23S ribosomal RNA". It matches the Rfam family "Bacterial large subunit ribosomal RNA". The record is from RNAcentral. Lineage: Bacteria; Pseudomonadati; Pseudomonadota; Gammaproteobacteria; Enterobacterales; Enterobacteriaceae.
GGUUAAGCGACUAAGCGUACACGGUGGAUGCCCUGGCAGUCAGAGGCGAUGAAGGACGUGCUAAUCUGCGAAAAGCGUCGGUAAGGUGAUAUGAACCGUUAUAACCGGCGAUGUCCGAAUGGGGAAACCCAGUGUGUUCCGACACACUAUCAUUAACUGAAUCCAUAGGUUAAUGAGGCGAACCGGGGGAACUGAAACAUCUAAGUACCCCGAGGAAAAGAAAUCAACCGAGAUUCCCCCAGUAGCGGCGAGCGAACGGGGAGGAGCCCAGAGCCUGAAUCAGUGUGUGUGUUAGUGGAAGCGUCUGGAAAGGCGCGCGAUACAGGGUGACAGCCCCGUACACAAAAAUGCACAUAUUGUGAGCUCGAUGAGUAGGGCGGGACACGUGGUAUCCUGUCUGAAUAUGGGGGGACCAUCCUCCAAGGCUAAAUACUCCUGACUGACCGAUAGUGAAGCAGUACCGUGAGGGAAAGGCGAAAAGAACCCCGGCGAGGGGAGUGAAAAAGAACCUGAAACCGUGUACGUACAAGCAGUGGGAGCCCUGAUUUAUCAGGGUGACUGCGUACCUUUUGUAUAAUGGGUCAGCGACUUAUAUUCUGUAGCAAGGUUAACCGAAUAGGGGAGCCGGAGGGAAACCGAGUCUUAACUGGGCGUUAAGUUGCAGGGUAUAGACCCGAAACCCGGUGAUCUAGCCAUGGGCAGGUUGAAGGUUGGGUAACACUAACUGGAGGACCGAACCGACUAAUGUUGAAAAAUUAGCGGAUGACUUGUGGCUGGGGGUGAAAGGCCAAUCAAACCGGGAGAUAGCUGGUUCUCCCCGAAAGCUAUUUAGGUAGCGCCUCGUGAAUUCAUCUCCGGGGGUAGAGCACUGUUUCGGCAAGGGGGUCAUCCCGACUUACCAACCCGAUGCAAACUGCGAAUACCGGAGAAUGUUAUCACGGGAGACACACGGCGGGUGCUAACGUCCGUCGUGAAGAGGGAAACAACCCAGACCGCCAGCUAAGGUCCCAAAGUCAUGGUUAAGUGGGAAACGAUGUGGGAAGGCCCAGACAGCCAGGAUGUUGGCUUAGAAGCAGCCAUCAUUUAAAGAAAGCGUAAUAGCUCACUGGUCGAGUCGGCCUGCGCGGAAGAUGUAACGGGGCUAAACCAUGCACCGAAGCUGCGGCAGCGACGCUGAUGCGUUGUUGGGUAGGGGAGCGUUCUGUAAGCCUGUGAAGGUGGCCUGUGAGGGUUGCUGGAGGUAUCAGAAGUGCGAAUGCUGACAUAAGUAACGAUAAAGCGGGUGAAAAGCCCGCUCGCCGGAAGACCAAGGGUUCCUGUCCAACGUUAAUCGGGGCAGGGUGAGUCGACCCCUAAGGCGAGGCCGAAAGGCGUAGUCGAUGGGAAACAGGUUAAUAUUCCUGUACUUGGUGUUACUGCGAAGGGGGGACGGAGAAGGCUAUGUUGGCCGGGCGACGGUUGUCCCGGUUUAAGCGUGUAGGCUGGUUUUCCAGGCAAAUCCGGAGAAUCAAGGCUGAGGCGUGAUGACGAGGCACUACGGUGCUGAAGCAACAAAUGCCCUGCUUCCAGGAAAAGCCUCUAAGCAUCAGGUAACAUCAAAUCGUACCCCAAACCGACACAGGUGGUCAGGUAGAGAAUACCAAGGCGCUUGAGAGAACUCGGGUGAAGGAACUAGGCAAAAUGGUGCCGUAACUUCGGGAGAAGGCACGCUGAUGGUAGGUGAAGCGACUUGCUCGUGGAGCUGAAAUCAGUCGAAGAUACCAGCUGGCUGCAACUGUUUAUUAAAAACACAGCACUGUGCAAACACGAAAGUGGACGUAUACGGUGUGACGCCUGCCCGGUGCCGGAAGGUUAAUUGAUGGGGUCAGCGCAAGCGAAGCUCUUGAUCGAAGCCCCGGUAAACGGCGGCCGUAACUAUAACGGUCCUAAGGUAGCGAAAUUCCUUGUCGGGUAAGUUCCGACCUGCACGAAUGGCGUAAUGAUGGCCAGGCUGUCUCCACCCGAGACUCAGUGAAAUUGAACUCGCUGUGAAGAUGCAGUGUACCCGCGGCAAGACGGAAAGACCCCGUGAACCUUUACUAUAGCUUGACACUGAACACUGGUCCUUGAUGUGUAGGAUAGGUGGGAGGCUUUGAAGUGUGGACGCCAGUCUGCAUGGAGCCGUCCUUGAAAUACCACCCUUUAAUGGCUGGUGUUCUAACGUGGGCCCGUAAUCCGGGUUGCGGACAGUGUCUGGUGGGUAGUUUGACUGGGGCGGUCUCCUCCUAAAGAGUAACGGAGGAGCACGAAGGUUGGCUAAUCCUGGUCGGACAUCAGGAGGUUAGUGCAAUGGCAUAAGCCAGCUUGACUGCGAGCGUGACGGCGCGAGCAGGUGCGAAAGCAGGUCAUAGUGAUCCGGUGGUUCUGAAUGGAAGGGCCAUCGCUCAACGGAUAAAAGGUACUCCGGGGAUAACAGGCUGAUACCGCCCAAGAGUUCAUAUCGACGGCGGUGUUUGGCACCUCGAUGUCGGCUCAUCACAUCCUGGGGCUGAAGUAGGUCCCAAGGGUAUGGCUGUUCGCCAUUUAAAGUGGUACGCGAGCUGGGUUUAGAACGUCGUGAGACAGUUCGGUCCCUAUCUGCCGUGGGCGCUGGAGAACUGAGGGGGGCUGCUCCUAGUACGAGAGGACCGGAGUGGACGCAUCACUGGUGUUCGGGUUGUCAUGCCAAUGGCACUGCCCGGUAGCUAAAUGCGGAAGAGAUAAGUGCUGAAAGCAUCUAAGCACGAAACUUGCCCCGAGAUGAGUUCUCCCUGAGACUUUAAGUCUCCUGAAGGAACGUUGAAGACGACGACGUUGAUAGGCCGGGUGUGUAAGCGCAGCGAUGCGUUGAGCUAACCGGUACUAAUGAACCGUGAGGCUUAACCUU